GGGUUGUGAGGUUAAGCGACUAAGCGUACACGGUGGAUGCCCUGGCAGUCAGAGGCGAUGAAGGGCGUGCUAAUCUGCGAUAAGCGCCGGUAAGGUGAUAUGAACCGUUAUAACCGGCGAUACCCGAAUGGGGAAACCCAGUGUGAUUCGUCACACUAUCAUUAACUGAAUCCAUAGGUUAAUGAGGCGAACCGGGGGAACUGAAACAUCUAAGUACCCCGAGGAAAAGAAAUCAACCGAGAUUCCCCCAGUAGCGGCGAGCGAACGGGGAGGAGCCCAGAGCCUGAAUCAGCAUGUGUGUUAGUGGAAGCGUCUGGAAAGGUGCGCGAUACAGGGUGACAGCCCCGUACACAAAAGCGCAUGUGCUGUGAGCUCGAUGAGUAGGGCGGGACACGUGGUAUCCUGUCUGAAUAUGGGGGGACCAUCCUCCAAGGCUAAAUACUCCUGACUGACCGAUAGUGAACCAGUACCGUGAGGGAAAGGCGAAAAGAACCCCGGCGAGGGGAGUGAAAAAGAACCUGAAACCGUGUACGUACAAGCAGUGGGAGCACAGGUUUACCUGUGUGACUGCGUACCUUUUGUAUAAUGGGUCAGCGACUUAUAUUCUGUAGCAAGGUUAACCGUAUAGGGGAGCCGGAGGGAAACCGAGUCUUAACCGGGCGUUAAGUUGCAGGGUAUAGACCCGAAACCCGGUGAUCUAGCCAUGGGCAGGUUGAAGGUUGGGUAACACUAACUGGAGGACCGAACCGACUAAUGUUGAAAAAUUAGCGGAUGACCUGUGGCUGGGGGUGAAAGGCCAAUCAAACCGGGAGAUAGCUGGUUCUCCCCGAAAGCUAUUUAGGUAGCGCCUCGUGAAUUCAUCUCCGGGGGUAGAGCACUGUUUCGGCUAGGGGGCCAUCCCGGCUUACCAACCCGAUGCAAACUGCGAAUACCGGAGAAUGUUAUCACGGGAGACACACGGCGGGUGCUAACGUCCGUCGUGAAGAGGGAAACAACCCAGACCGCCAGCUAAGGUCCCAAAGUCAUGGUUAAGUGGGAAACGAUGUGGGAAGGCCCAGACAGCCAGGAUGUUGGCUUAGAAGCAGCCAUCAUUUAAAGAAAGCGUAAUAGCUCACUGGUCGAGUCGGCCUGCGCGGAAGAUGUAACGGGGCUAAACCAU
RNAcentral lists this ribosomal RNA (1159 nucleotides) under Salmonella enterica subsp. enterica serovar Typhimurium. Its description in RNAcentral is "partial 23S ribosomal RNA". It matches the Rfam family "Bacterial large subunit ribosomal RNA", at positions 1 to 1190 of the family's 2925-position model. The record is from RNAcentral. Lineage: Bacteria; Pseudomonadati; Pseudomonadota; Gammaproteobacteria; Enterobacterales; Enterobacteriaceae.